GUGAAUCAUCGAAUUUUUGAACGCAAAUUGCACUCUCUUCGGAGAGUAUGCCUGUUUGAGGGUCAGCCUAAAAAAAAUCUACAUAGUUGCUGUUUCGCAGUGACUUUCGUCGGUUAUUGGGUCAUCUUAAACCUUUGGGUUUUAAGCGGCUUAAAAUUUUCUUUACGAUUCCACGAACGUUUCUAGGAUUAACUUCUUACGCUUAAGGUUUCGAUUUUUAUUUGACGUUUCCGUUGCAUCGGGUUACUUCCAUAUCUAUUUCUUUA
This 266-nucleotide unclassified non-coding RNA is filed under the name Glomus sp. Its description in RNAcentral is "partial contains 5.8S ribosomal RNA and internal transcribed spacer 2". The stretch from base 1 to 65 matches the Rfam family "5.8S ribosomal RNA", at positions 84 to 154 of the family's 154-position model. The record is from RNAcentral. Lineage: Eukaryota; Fungi; Glomeromycota; Glomeromycetes; Glomerales; Glomeraceae.